Molecule: unclassified non-coding RNA, 212 nt
Filed under: Hevea brasiliensis (rubber tree)
Lineage: Eukaryota; Viridiplantae; Streptophyta; Magnoliopsida; Malpighiales; Euphorbiaceae
Source: RNAcentral
CGAUAAGCCAGUGAUUAUAGUCACAGCCUGGUAACAUUAUCGUCUCUGUCUGCUCAUUGCUGCUGCUUCUUUUUAAAGAGUAAUCACCAUCAUUUGCAGCGGCACGAGUGAUGGAGAGGGAGCAAGCAGGGAGGGACGUACGUGAGUUAACUCGGAAGGGAGGAGGAAGUAGGAGACGAGAUGAAAGAGAGGGUUUAGAAGAGAAGAACAGG